Molecule: ribosomal RNA, 164 nt
Filed under: Loxocarpus angustifolius
Lineage: Eukaryota; Viridiplantae; Streptophyta; Magnoliopsida; Lamiales; Gesneriaceae
Description: 5.8S ribosomal RNA
Rfam family: 5.8S ribosomal RNA
About the family: 5.8S ribosomal RNA (5.8S rRNA) is a component of the large subunit of the eukaryotic ribosome. It is transcribed by RNA polymerase I as part of the 45S precursor that also contains 18S and 28S rRNA. Functionally, it is thought that 5.8S rRNA may be involved in ribosome translocation.
Source: RNAcentral
ACAACGACUCUCGGCAACGGAUAUCUCGGCUCUCGCAUCGAUGAAGAACGUAGCGAAAUGCGAUACUUGGUGUGAAUUGCAGAAUCCCGUGAACCAUCGAGUCUUUGAACGCAAGUUGCGCCCAAGGCCAUCAGGCCGAGGGCACGUCUGCCUGGGCGUCACGC